GUGCAAAGAAUCUAGAAUAGGAAAGAAGCCGAUCGAAGUGCCAUCAAAUGUGACCCUCACGUUAGAGGAGCAGUUUAUUAAGGCUAAGGGUCCAUUAGGAGAAUUAUCACUAAACUAUCCAGGUGAAGUAAAAGUGGUGAAAGAAGAAUCUGGUAAGCUGAGAGUUUCCAAGACUGUGGAGACCAAAAGGGCAAACCAGAUGCAUGGCCUUUUCAGGACCCUGACUGACAACAUCA
This 236-nucleotide unclassified non-coding RNA is filed under the name Hevea brasiliensis (rubber tree). Lineage: Eukaryota; Viridiplantae; Streptophyta; Magnoliopsida; Malpighiales; Euphorbiaceae. The record is from RNAcentral.